Molecule: ribosomal RNA, 409 nt
Filed under: bacterium
Lineage: Bacteria
Description: partial 16S ribosomal RNA
Rfam family: Bacterial small subunit ribosomal RNA
Source: RNAcentral
UGGGGAAUAUUGCACAAUGGGCGAAAGCCUGAUGCAGCGACGCCGCGUGAGGGAUGACGGCCUUCGGGUUGUAAACCUCUUUCAGCAGGGACGAAGCGCAAGUGACGGUACCUGCAGAAGAAGCACCGGCUAACUACGUGCCAGCAGCCGCGGUAAUACGUAGGGUGCAAGCGUUGUCCGGAAUUACUGGGCGUAAAGAGUUCGUAGGCGGUUUGUCGCGUCGUUCGUGAAAACCAGCAGCUCAACUGCUGGCUUGCAGGCGAUACGGGCAGACUUGAGUACUGCAUGGGAGACUGGAAUUCCUGGUGUAGCGGUGAAAUGCGCAGAUAUCAGGAGGAACACCGGUGGCGAAGGCGGGUCUCUGGGCAGUAACUGACGCUGAGGAACGAAAGCGUGGGUAGCGAACAGG